AUUGAACGCUGGCGGCAGGCCUAACACAUGCAGGUCGAGCGGAUGAAGGGAGCUUGCUCCUGGAUUCAGCGGCGGACGGGUGAGUAAUGCCUAGGAAUCUGCCUGGUAGUGGGGGAUAACGUCCGGAAACGGGCGCUAAUACCGCAUACGUUCUGAGGGAGAAAGUGGGGGAUCUUCGGACCUCACGCUAUCAGAUGAGCCUAGGUCGGAUUAGCUAGUUGGUGGGGUAAAGGCCUACCAAGGCGACGAUCCGUAACUGGUCUGAGAGGAUGAUCAGUCACACUGGAACUGAGACACGGUCCAGACUCCUACGGGAGGCAGCAGUGGGGAAUAUUGGACAAUGGGCGAAAGCCUGAUCCAGCCAUGCCGCGUGUGUGAAGAAGGUCUUCGGAUUGUAAAGCACUUUAAGUUGGGAGGAAGGGCAGUAAGUUAAUACCUUGCUGUUUUGACGUUACCAACAGAAUAAGCACCGGCUAACUUCGUG
Molecule: ribosomal RNA, 484 nt
Filed under: uncultured bacterium
Lineage: Bacteria
Description: partial 16S ribosomal RNA
Rfam family: Bacterial small subunit ribosomal RNA
Source: RNAcentral